This 496-nucleotide ribosomal RNA is filed under the name uncultured bacterium. Its description in RNAcentral is "bacterial SSU rRNA". It matches the Rfam family "Bacterial small subunit ribosomal RNA", at positions 29 to 518 of the family's 1533-position model. The record is from RNAcentral.
AUGAACGCUAGCGACAGGCCUAACACAUGCAAGUCGAGGGGCAGCACAAGGAGCAAUCUGAGGUGGCGACCGGCGCACGGGUGAGUAACACGUAUGCAACCUGCCUGUAAGCGGGGAAUAACCCGUUGAAAGACGGACUAAUACCGCAUAAUACUAAAUUACUGCAUGGUAAUUUAUUUAAACAUUUAUGGCUUACAGAUGGGCAUGCGCAUGAUUAGCUAGUUGGAGAGGUAACGGCUCCCCAAGGCAACGAUCAUUAGGGGUUCUGAGAGGAAGGUCCCCCACACUGGUACUGAGACACGGACCAGACUCCUACGGGAGGCAGCAGUGAGGAAUAUUGGUCAAUGGACGAGAGUCUGAACCAGCCAAGUCGCGUGCAGGAAGAAUGUCCUUAAUGGAUUGUAAACUGCUUUUGCAGGGGAAUAAGGUGCAUCACGUGUGAUGUUUUGUAUGUACUCUGCGAAUAAGGAUCGGCUAACUCCGUGCCAGCCGCUGC